This 453-nucleotide ribosomal RNA is filed under the name uncultured bacterium. Its description in RNAcentral is "bacterial SSU rRNA". It matches the Rfam family "Bacterial small subunit ribosomal RNA", at positions 340 to 786 of the family's 1533-position model. The record is from RNAcentral.
UACGGGAGGCAGCAGUGGGGAAUAUUGCACAAUGGGCGCAAGCCUGAUGCAGCCAUGCCGCGUGUAUGAAGAAGGCCUUCGGGUUGUAAAGUACUUUCAGUCGUGAGGAAGGUGUUAAGGUUAAUAACCUUAGCAAUUGACGUUAGCGACAGAAGAAGCACCGGCUAACUCCGUGCCAGCAGCCGCGGUAAUACGGGAGGGUGCGAGCGUUAAUCGGAAUUACUGGGCGUAAAGGGCACGCAGGCGGUUAAUUAAGUUGGAUGUGAAAUCCCCGGGCUUAACCUGGGAAUGGCAUUCAAGCUGGUUAGCUAGAGUCUUGUAGAGGGGGUAGAAUUCCAUGUGUAGCGGUGAAAUGCGUAGAGAUGUGGAGGAUACCGGUGGCGAAGGCGGCCCCUGGGACAAGGACUGACGCUCAUGUGCGAAAGCGUGGGGAGCAAACAGGGAUUAGAUACC